Long non-coding RNA from Oxyura jamaicensis (ruddy duck), 539 nucleotides. RefSeq lists it as uncharacterized. The transcript is spliced from 3 exons. NCBI's taxonomy places the organism in Eukaryota, Metazoa, Chordata, Aves, Anseriformes, Anatidae. The record is from RefSeq and is a predicted model, not a curated record.
CUUUUGUCCAUUUUCUCUGACUCCUGUCACCUCUUAUCAAUCUUCUGCCUACUCCUAUUGGAAUGAACCUCACCUUGGUGAAGAAAUUGCUGAUCCAUGAGGACUUGAAGCGGCUGAUGAAACAAGUUCGAGAAAAUGGACAAAAGACUCUGAUUACUAUCCAUCAUGAUAUACAAGAAAUGCAUUGAGUGAUGGAAAGGGUAAAGAGAGAUGAAAGACACCGUUGGUGGGACACUUUGUUUGAAUGGUCACCAGCUGCCACCGGAGUCUUCAAUAAGAUGCUUCACCCUGUUGUUGUUUUGUUAAUACUCAUUGUAUUAUGCUUUUAGUUUGUAUGUUAAACUCUGGAUUAUGAUGAAACGUUUAGCAUCCCUACACAAUGUACAUACACUCGAUAAACCUUGUCCCAAGAAUGUAUGUGAUAUCCCUGACAUAUUCCAAAUGUCGUGAAGCUUGAGUGACUAUAGUCAUGGGGUGGAUGAUGUGGUGCAAUUGCCUAAAGUAACUAGGAAAAUAAAACUAAUAUUCACAUUUUCAAG